UCUAUAUUCAUGAAAUGGCAUAUUGUGUUUAAUAAUGCUUAUUGAGUUAUUUUUUAGUAUUCUUAUAUUUUUGAGUAAUAAUCACUCAUAAUUUUUAGUGUCCUAAACUGAAUGUUGCCUUUGACAUCUAUUAUAGUGCCAAUUAUUUGGUAAGAUUUUUUUAUUAAGGUAAAAAGUAAGAUUAUAUCAUAUAUAAUAGAUAACAAUGAAGAGGAGAAAUGGAAAUCUCAAAAUUGGAAGUUUGUAUUUUGAUGUCUUCUAUAGAAUAUAGGCUUCCUAGUUUGGCAUGGUUAGAUAACUUUGGAGAAUCCAUAUUGUUUUUUAACAUAUUUGCUUUCUUUUCCUCUGUAUAUAGUAAUAUGUAUGGUUAUUUUGCUCAUGUGAUGUAAUGAUACUGUCUGUUUAUUGUGAAACUUUUUUUUUGUAGCUGACAUCUGAAAUGUUUGAAGCAGAUCUUGAGAAGGCAUUGUUACUAAGUAAACUAGAAUAUGAAGAGCACAAAAAGGAGUAUGAAGAUGCUGAAAAUACUUCAACUCAGUCCAAAGUUAUG
This 550-nucleotide long non-coding RNA is filed under the name Homo sapiens (human). RNAcentral describes it as "non-protein coding lnc-KIF27-2:1". The record is from RNAcentral. Lineage: Eukaryota; Metazoa; Chordata; Mammalia; Primates; Hominidae.